UACGUAGGCAGCAAACGUUGUUCGGAAUUACUGGGCGUAAAGAGUGUGUAGGCGGUUCUGUAAGUUUGGUGUGAAAUCUCCCGGCUUAACUGGGGGGGUGCGCCGAAAACUGCAAGGCUUGAGUGCUGGAGAGGAUAGCGGAAUUCCUGGUGUAGCGGUGAAAUGCGUAGAUAUCAGGAGGAACACCGGCGGUGUAGACGGCUAUCUGGACAGCAACUGACGCUGAGACACGAAAGCGUGGGGAGCAAACAGG
This 253-nucleotide ribosomal RNA is filed under the name uncultured bacterium. RNAcentral's name for it is "partial 16S ribosomal RNA". It matches the Rfam family "Bacterial small subunit ribosomal RNA", at positions 524 to 776 of the family's 1533-position model. The record is from RNAcentral.